Long non-coding RNA from Tripterygium wilfordii, 1594 nucleotides. RefSeq lists it as uncharacterized. The record is from RefSeq and is a predicted model, not a curated record. The transcript is spliced from 2 exons. NCBI's taxonomy places the organism in Eukaryota, Viridiplantae, Streptophyta, Magnoliopsida, Celastrales, Celastraceae.
GCUUCGAUUCUUCCAAGCCUCUCUCACUUAUCAUCUUCUUCGCUUGAUUUGUUACUGGAUCAUUUCCUAAUGGAUCACUAUGAGAAUGCGUAGAGAAUGUAGUUUUUAUAAUAGCCUAUUCAUGUAUGAAAAAAAUGAUGUUAUCUUGCUUGUUUCAUAGUUCUAUGCUAAUUUGUUCUUUGGCUUUAGCAUACCCCUUUUGAGAAGUCGUCAUUGUGUGUGAUAUUUGUUACAUGGCUUGAUUUUGUUGCUUGUUGCCUAAUUGAAUGUAGAAAAGCUAAUAAGAUUAAGGAAACAUAGCAUCUUUUUCAUAUAUUUAUGCUCUGUAAUUGCUAGUGGUGUGAGACAUCUCUAUAUUUUUAUGUAAUUCUAUGUGUGGUGAAAGUCAUGUGAGAAGUCAAUGUUUGGUGAGAAAGUGUGCUCUAAAAUCUCACACAUAUAUGUAUAUAUAGAUGUGGUGUUUUUCUUUUCAUGUAACGUUUAGGUGUGUGCCUUUCAAUUGAUCAUUUAAGCAUGGACGAGAGAAAGAUACUCAUAUGCCUAAUGUUGAAGAGGUAUAUGGAUCGGCUAAACAUUUUAGUCACCCUCCUCCACAUUGCUUAUGCUGCUGUAGUUCAAUAUCACAAAAAAUAUAGCUUGAGGUCUAGAUAUUUUAAUAGGGACUACCAGAGAUCCCAAGCUUUAGAACGAUUGGUAUAUUCCAAUGAUGUCACAUGUUUUAAUCUACCUAGAAUGGAUAGGUUUACAUUCAACAUAUUAUGUGUAAUGUUGCAUACAAUAGGAAGGUUGAGUGACACAAGAAACGUGAAAAUCGAUGAGCAAGUAGCGACAUUCCUAAAUAUACUUGCUCAUCAUGAGAAAAAUCGUUCUAUAAAGGAGAAAAUUUUUCGGUCUGGAGAAACGAUCAGUAGGCAUUUCAAGCUAGUACUAAAUGCGGUGCUUCAACUACAAGAAAAAUUGUUCAAAAAGCCUCAACCUGUACCUGAAAAUUCUAAAGAUUGAAGGUGGAAAUGGUUUAAGAAUUGUUUAGGGGCAUUAGAUGAGACAUAUGAAAGAGUCAAUGUUCCUGCAGCUUACAAACCUAGAUAUCAGACUAGAAAAGGCGAAAUUACAACAAAUAUCUUAGUAGCUUGUUCACCAGACAUGGAAAUUAUCUGUGUACUUAUUGGUUGGGAAGGUUCAGCUGCUGAUGGAUGAAUAUUUUGAGAUGCCGUGAGUAGAAGAAAUGGCUUAAAAGUUUCACAAGGUGAAUUACGUGAAAAUUCAAUCAAGUAUAUCAUAGUAUUCUAUACUUUUUUCCCUAGUUUUUAUGGUGGCUGAAUAUGUUUUUUCCUCAUGUUUUAAGGAUAUUACUACCUUGUAGAUGCUGGAUACACAAAUGGAAAUGACUUUCUAGGUCCAUUUACGGGUCAAAGAUAUUGUAUCUGUUUGGCAGUUUGUUUGCACUGCGUUCAGGUGCAUCGCACCUCACAACACUACAGUUUUUGUGACACGCCGAACGCUUUUUGCCAGCAGAACUCACCUCACAGCACCACAACUUUUUACCUCACAAUACCUCACCUCACCUCACAGCACUCCCAAACAGCUUAAUAUA